This 254-nucleotide ribosomal RNA is filed under the name uncultured bacterium. RNAcentral describes it as "partial 16S ribosomal RNA". It matches the Rfam family "Bacterial small subunit ribosomal RNA", at positions 524 to 776 of the family's 1533-position model. The record is from RNAcentral.
CACGUGGGGGGCAAGCGUUGUCCGGAUUCAUUGGGCGUAAAGAGCUCGUAGGCGGUUCGAUAAGUCGGGUGUGAAACCUCCAGGCUCAACCUGGAGACGCCACCCGAUACUGUCGUGACUAGAGUCCAGUAGGGGAGCGUGGAAUUCCUGGUGUAGCGGUGAAAUGCGCAGAUAUCAGGAGGAACACCAAUGGCGAAGGCAGCUCGCUGGGACGGUACUGACGCUGAGACGCGAAAGCGUGGGGAGCAAACAGG